GCGGCCUAUCAGCUUGUUGGUGAGGUAACGGCUCACCAAGGCUUCGACGGGUAGCUGGUCUGAGAGGAUGAUCAGCCACACUGGGACUGAGACACGGCCCAGACUCCUACGGGAGGCAGCAGUGGGGAAUCUUGCGCAAUGGGCGAAAGCCUGACGCAGCCACGCCGCGUGCGGGAUGAAGGCCUUAGGGUUGUAAACCGCUUUUAACAGGAACGAAAAUGACGGUACCUGUAGAAUAAGGUGCGGCCAACUACGUGCCAGCAGCCGCGGUGACACGUAGGCACCAAGCGUUGUCCGGAUUUAUUGGGCGUAAAGAGCUCGUAGGCGGUUCAGUAAGUCGGGUGUGAAAACUCUGGGCUUAACCCAGAGACGCCACUCGAUACUAUUGUGACUAGAGUUCGGUAGGGGAGACUGGAAUUCCU
This 422-nucleotide ribosomal RNA is filed under the name uncultured Actinomycetes bacterium. RNAcentral describes it as "bacterial SSU rRNA". It matches the Rfam family "Bacterial small subunit ribosomal RNA", at positions 233 to 671 of the family's 1533-position model. Lineage: Bacteria; Bacillati; Actinomycetota; Actinomycetes. The record is from RNAcentral.